CAUUUAGGAUUUGCGUUUUCUCUCUUUCUUUCUUUCUCUAUUUAGUUGUUGAAAGCAGUGUUCACAGUCACUAAUGUCUUCUAUCAGAGGAGACAGUUUUUAUGUAUGUGGGGUUUUUUUGUUUUUUAGGAUUUUGUUUUGAAUACAGAAAGCCCUAUUUCAUUAUCAGCCAUAACAUCUCCUAGAUGACCACUCAUCAACCAAAUGUCCUUUUCAGUGGUCAUGGAAUAGAGUAAGCCAUUGAAGUCGAUGGCUUGUCCCAGUCCUCACUAUCAGAACUAGUCUAAGAAUUUGAAGUCGAUGUGUUAUUUUUACUCUAUAAAGUAAAAGUAGAAAGUCAGUUUCGGUACUUAAUAAAUAUGAUUAUUCUAUGCUGAUAGUAAUCUUGAGAAAGUAUAGUUUUUAUACUUCUAUUCCCAAAUGUAAAAACUCAUAAUUUUUCUACAUAUGAUUUUAAUUUGGUUCCCUUAAGCCAAAAAACAUGACAACAAUUAUUGCUACUCACCCCCAAGAAGAAAAUGUGGACAGGUUUGUGGGAAAUUGUUAAAAAAAAAAAAAAAAAAAAAAAAAAAAAAAAGACGUUUAGCAUAACCAGGUACUUUCAAGCUCCUCAUUAGUUUGUGAAAAGUCCUGAUGGUUACAUUUCACUGAAACUUGAAAAAUUAAGCAGAAUACAGGAGCAAAUAGCACGAGGAGUUCUCUUUCUGGACUAACUCUAAAUAACAAUUUUUUUAAAUUUUUUUAAUUUUUUUUUUUAUUAUUAUACUUUAGGUUUUAGGGUACAUGUGCACAAUGUGCAGGUUUGUUACAUAUGUAUCCAUGUGCCAUGUUGGUUUGCUGCACCCAUUAACUCAUCAUUUAGCAUUAGGUAUAUCUCCUAGUGCUACAACUUUUAAUGUCUGAGCUAACUAGAAUGUAAUAGAAUUUUCCAGAAGUCAAAAAGGAAGCAGGAGUAGUAAUCUGGGAAAAUAAGUCAGCACUAUAGGCUGUAGUUAUUCUGGAAGAAUCUGUAAUUGUCUCUAACCUAGUGCUUGAGAGCCGUAUCCUCAUGGAAAGAAUUAACUAGGAAAAGUCCUUUCCACAAAAGCAGAGGGCAAGGAAACUUGCUUGUCUGGCUGUAUGGUAAGGGGACAAGAUUUCUGGGAAUUUGUAAUCAUAGGCUUCUGAUACAGGUCUUUAGCCUAAGUUCAUAGAACCAGUGUGCCCUGAAAAACUCGAGACCAAGAAGAACUUAGUUCUUUAGUGUAAAGUGCUCAUGGCUUGGUAGUAUCCCAAGGAACCUGGAAAAAAGGGCUUCUCCAAAGAUAUCAAUCAACCAGGCCUCAAAGAAAUGCCACACAUGGCCAGGUGUGGUGGCUCACACCUGUAAUCCCAGCACUUUGGGAACCUGAGGUGAGCAGAUCACAAGGUCAGGAGUUUGAGACCAGCCUGGCCAAUAUGGUGACCCCGUUUCUACUAAAAAUACAAAAACUAGCUGGGCAUGGUGGCGAGUGCCUGUAAUCCCAGCUACUCAGGAGGCUGAGGCAGGAGAAUUGCCUGAAUCCCGGAGGUGAAGUUGCAGUGAGCUGAGUUCGUGCCAUUGCACUCCAACCCAGGCAACAGAGCGAGACUCCAUCUCAAAAAAAGAAAAAAGAAAUCCCACACAUAAAAGAAUAUUAACUCACAAUAAAAUUAUCUUUAAAUCACAAAACCAAGAGAAAAAGCACAAUGAGCAAAAAGGCAAUAGAAACAAUAGGUAGUCAUACCAGCAAAGGCUUCAGUUAUUAGAAUUAUGAGAUGUAGAAUAUAAAAUACUAUCUUUGAAGAAAUAAGAGAGGGGAUAGAAAGUACAGUUGACCCUUGAACAACAUGGGUUUAAAGUAUGUAUGCAGGUCCACUUAUACAUAGAUUAUUGUCCUGCCUCUGCCAUCCCUCAGACAGCAAGCCAAACCCCUCCUUUUCUUACUACUCAGGCUACUCAGUGCAAAGAUGACGAGGAUAAAGACCUUUAUGAUGUUCUACUUUUACUUAAUAAGUAGUAAAUAUAUUUUCUCAUGAUUUUCUUGGUAACUUUUUUUUCUAGUUUGUUGUAAAAAUACAAUAUAAAAUACAUGUAACGUGUUAAUUGACUGUUUAUUUGUUGGUAAGGCUUCCUGUUAACAGUAUUCUAUAGUAGUUAAGUUUCAGGAGAGUCAAAAUUUAUGCAUGCCUAGCCCCCACAUUAUUCAAGGGCCACUUGUGUUAGUAAGGAACAAGAAACUAUCAAAAAUAGGUGCAAUGGGCAUGAUCUCACAUAUGUGGAAUUUUUAAAAGUCAAACUUGUAGAAGAGUAGAAUGAUGGCUACUAGAGGCUGAGGAUUGGAAAGCUGGGGAAAGGAGAGAUGUUGAUGAAGUGGGGUAUGGAGUUUCAACUGGACAGGAGAAAUAGGUUCUCAUGAUCUGUUACACAGCACAGUGAUUAUAGUUAAUAAUUUAUAUUUUAAAUCUUCUUAGAACAAAGAAAUAAGUUUUUUGACAUGACAAAUGUUAAUUUGCCUGAUUUUUAUCAUUCCACAAUGUGUACAUGUAUUGAAACAUCACAUACCUGAUAAAUAUAUACAAUUAUUUGUUAAUUAAAAAUGAAAUAAAACAUAAAAAAGGAUAAUGGAAUAUCAUGCUAUGUGUGAGAGAGGAAAUGGUCAAAAAAUGAUGGUGAGGGGGUAUAUAAGGACACAGGAACCAGCUUGAAGAGACUCUGCUGGCCAAAUCUGGAUUAAUUUGAAUACCAAGUAUAGGAAAAAAUAAUUUCUAAGUUCAUACUUAUAAUAAUAGGUAAAUAGGGAAGAAGAGGGAGAGUUCUUCCUUAUAGUGGAAUGCCAAGUGCUGACUGUUAGAUGUUGGGGAGUAGGGCUGGAGUUGGAAGAUAGUGCAGACGACUCUCACAAACAUGUGGAACAAAAAAGUUGCCAUAUACAUAUGGCAUAACAAAUUCAAAA
Molecule: long non-coding RNA, 2954 nt
Organism: Symphalangus syndactylus (siamang)
Lineage: Eukaryota; Metazoa; Chordata; Mammalia; Primates; Hylobatidae
Source: RefSeq, a predicted model, not a curated record